This 1323-nucleotide ribosomal RNA is filed under the name Salmonella enterica subsp. enterica serovar Newport. RNAcentral describes it as "partial 23S ribosomal RNA". It matches the Rfam family "Bacterial large subunit ribosomal RNA", at positions 161 to 1439 of the family's 2925-position model. Lineage: Bacteria; Pseudomonadati; Pseudomonadota; Gammaproteobacteria; Enterobacterales; Enterobacteriaceae. RNAcentral also lists the same sequence under 1 other name. The record is from RNAcentral.
AAUCCAUAGGUUAAUGAGGCGAACCGGGGGAACUGAAACAUCUAAGUACCCCGAGGAAAAGAAAUCAACCGAGAUUCCCCCAGUAGCGGCGAGCGAACGGGGAGGAGCCCAGAGCCUGAAUCAGCAUGUGUGUUAGUGGAAGCGUCUGGAAAGGCGCGCGAUACAGGGUGACAGCCCCGUACACAAAAGCGCAUGUGCUGUGAGCUCGAUGAGUAGGGCGGGACACGUGGUAUCCUGUCUGAAUAUGGGGGGACCAUCCUCCAAGGCUAAAUACUCCUGACUGACCGAUAGUGAACCAGUACCGUGAGGGAAAGGCGAAAAGAACCCCGGCGAGGGGAGUGAAAAAGAACCUGAAACCGUGUACGUACAAGCAGUGGGAGCACAGGUUUACCUGUGUGACUGCGUACCUUUUGUAUAAUGGGUCAGCGACUUAUAUUCUGUAGCAAGGUUAACCGAAUAGGGGAGCCGGAGGGAAACCGAGUCUUAAUUGGGCGUUAAGUUGCAGGGUAUAGACCCGAAACCCGGUGAUCUAGCCAUGGGCAGGUUGAAGGUUGGGUAACACUAACUGGAGGACCGAACCGACUAAUGUUGAAAAAUUAGCGGAUGACCUGUGGCUGGGGGUGAAAGGCCAAUCAAACCGGGAGAUAGCUGGUUCUCCCCGAAAGCUAUUUAGGUAGCGCCUCGUGAAUUCAUCUCCGGGGGUAGAGCACUGUUUCGGCUAGGGGGCCAUCCCGGCUUACCAACCCGAUGCAAACUGCGAAUACCGGAGAAUGUUAUCACGGGAGACACACGGCGGGUGCUAACGUCCGUCGUGAAGAGGGAAACAACCCAGACCGCCAGCUAAGGUCCCAAAGUCAUGGUUAAGUGGGAAACGAUGUGGGAAGGCCCAGACAGCCAGGAUGUUGGCUUAGAAGCAGCCAUCAUUUAAAGAAAGCGUAAUAGCUCACUGGUCGAGUCGGCCUGCGCGGAAGAUGUAACGGGGCUAAACCAUGCACCGAAGCUGCGGCAGCGAACGUAUCACUUAAAGCGAUUCAGCGGGUUACGAUUGACGGAGCGAAGCGACGUCAAAGCGUAUACAAAGUCGAGUCGGUUUAAGGAUACGUUCGUUGGGUAGGGGAGCGUUCUGUAAGCCUGUGAAGGUGGCCUGUGAGGGUUGCUGGAGGUAUCAGAAGUGCGAAUGCUGACAUAAGUAACGAUAAAGCGGGUGAAAAGCCCGCUCGCCGGAAGACCAAGGGUUCCUGUCCAACGUUAAUCGGGGCAGGGUGAGUCGACCCCUAAGGCGAGGCCGAAAGGCGUAGUCGAUGGGAAACGGGUUAAUAUUCC